UGGGGAAUUUUGGACAAUGGACGCAAGUCUGAUCCAGCCAUUCCGCGUGCGGGAAGAAGGCCUUCGGGUUGUAAACCGCUUUUGUCAGGGAAGAAACGAGUUUCUCUAAUACAGAGACUUAAUGACGGUACCUGAAGAAUAAGCACCGGCUAACUACUUGCCAGCAGCCGCGGUAAUACGUAGGGUGCAAGCGUCAAUCUGAAUUACUGUGCGUAAAGAGUGCGCAGGCGGUUAUGCAAAACAGAGGGGAAAGCACCGGGCUCAACCUGGGAACUGCCGUUGUGACUGCAUAGCUAGAGUACGGUAGAGGGGGAUGGAAUUGCGCGUGUAGCAGUGAAAUGCGUAGAUAUGCGGAGGAACACCGAUGGCGAAGGCAAUCCCCUGGAACUGUACUGACGCUCAUGCACGAAAGCGUGGGGAGCAAACA
This 427-nucleotide ribosomal RNA is filed under the name uncultured bacterium. RNAcentral describes it as "bacterial SSU rRNA". It matches the Rfam family "Bacterial small subunit ribosomal RNA", at positions 355 to 774 of the family's 1533-position model. The record is from RNAcentral.